Molecule: non-coding RNA, 188 nt
Organism: Corylus avellana
Lineage: Eukaryota; Viridiplantae; Streptophyta; Magnoliopsida; Fagales; Betulaceae
Source: RefSeq, a predicted model, not a curated record
AGAUCUUCUCCCAAUUUUCAGUAUGUUGAGUCACUCUUGCCUGAUAUUGAAGAUGAAGAAAGCUACAAGCUUGAGUCGGAAAUUUUGUCUAAUUCCCUCACAUUUGACGCGAAUUAAGGCUUAAUGGAUGAACUUUGCGGGGUAAUGUUUUGUUUAAAGUAUUUGGAAGCAAAUUUAAGGAAUUGAAA